GAUGAACGCUGGCGGCGUGCCUAAUACAUGCCAGUCGAGCGAACAGACGAGGAGCUUGCUCCUCUGACGUUAGCGGCGGACGGGUGAGUAACACGUGGAUAACCUACCUAUAAGACUGGGAUAACUUCGGGAAACCGGAGCUAAUACCGGAUAAUAUAUUGAACCGCAUGGUUCAAUAGUGAAAGACGGUUUUGCUGUCACUUAUAGAUGGAUCCGCGCCGCAUUAGCUAGUUGGUAAGGUAACGGCUUACCAAGGCAACGAUGCGUAGCCGACCUGAGAGGGUGAUCGGCCACACUGGAACUGAGACACGGUCCAGACUCCUACGGGAGGCAGCAGUAGGGAAUCUUCCGCAAUGGGCGAAAGCUUGACGGAGCAACGCCGCGUGAGUGAUGAAGGUCUUCGGAUCGUAAAACGCUGUUAUUAGGGAAGAACAAAUGUGUAAGUAACUAUGCACGUCUUGACGGUACCUAAGCAGAAAGCCACGGCUAACUACGU
RNAcentral lists this ribosomal RNA (496 nucleotides) under uncultured bacterium. Its description in RNAcentral is "partial 16S ribosomal RNA". It matches the Rfam family "Bacterial small subunit ribosomal RNA", at positions 28 to 506 of the family's 1533-position model. The record is from RNAcentral.